This 494-nucleotide ribosomal RNA is filed under the name uncultured bacterium. Its description in RNAcentral is "partial 16S ribosomal RNA". It matches the Rfam family "Bacterial small subunit ribosomal RNA", at positions 28 to 523 of the family's 1533-position model. The record is from RNAcentral.
GAUGAACGCUAGCGGCAGGCUUAACACAUGCAAGUCGAGGGGUAUAGGUUUUCGGACCUAGAGACCGGCGCACGGGUGCGUAACGCGUAUGCAAUCUACCUUUUGCAGAGGGAUAGCCCAGAGAAAUUUGGAUUAAUACCUCAUAGUAUAACACAAUCGCAUGAUUGAGUUAUUAAAGUCACAACGGCAAAAGAUGAGCAUGCGUCCCAUUAGCUAGAUGGUAAGGUAACGGCUUACCAUGGCUACGAUGGGUAGGGGUCCUGAGAGGGAGUUCCCCCACACUGGUACUGAGACACGGACCAGACUCCUACGGGAGGCAGCAGUGAGGAAUAUUGGUCAAUGGACGCAAGUCUGAACCAGCCAUGCCGCGUGCAGGAUGACGGUCCUAUGGAUUGUAAACUGCUUUUGUACAGGAAGAAACACUCCUUCGUGAAGGAACUUGACGGUACUGUAAGAAUAAGGAUCGGCUAACUCCGUGCCAGCAGCCGCCGUAA